AAUGUCUUUCUUUGUUUGGUGUGCAAAAAUGAAAGAAAGUUUAAAAUUUGUCUUUUUCGUGUGACGUCGAUAUUGCUUUAAAAAAAAGCGCGGCACGGCAACUCCAUUACAAAAAAGUCAGUGUCAAAUUUGUCAAAAUAAGGUGGUAUUUUGACUGCGUCAAAACGAAGUUUGGUUGCUAGAGAGGGUAU
Molecule: long non-coding RNA, 191 nt
Organism: Bradysia coprophila
Lineage: Eukaryota; Metazoa; Arthropoda; Insecta; Diptera; Sciaridae
Source: RefSeq, a predicted model, not a curated record